UUUCUAUCCUAUUAGGUCCAAGGACACAGUUAUCGUCCUUUGGUUUUCGUUGUCUACGAAUAUAGUCCCUAGUGUGAACAGUGUAUAACUUGCAUUUUUUUUUAUACACUUUCCCAAUUUAUUACUUGAUAUUUUAUGCAUGAAAUAUUAAGUAAGGGGAUGAAAUUACAUGUUAAAAAAAUUUGGGUGCUGAAUCUUUAUGUUAAGUAGUGAUUUGGUCCAGUUAAAAAAGGUCAAAAAUUAGAAUGUCUGAAGCUGUCAAACUGAAUUUUAGCCCCCCUUAACACAGAAUUGUCAAUAUUUUGAGUUAGAGCUGGUACAAGUUUCUAUAAUUUUGAUAUUAUUUGUAUCAAUAGUAGUACACUACACAGUAAAAAUCUUUUCGAGAUAGAGCAGGUGCGAUUUUUUUAAUUUGAAUUUACUGUCUAAAAGAAAUGCACUACGAAAUAACUGUGUUCUCGGGCCAGUAUUGUGCAAAAGAAGAUACUUCAUAUAAAUUGCUUAUUUCUUGACCAAUUUCAAUGGGGUUUUAUUCUUGAAUUCUUGGGGUUCUUUAAUAUGCUGAUUCUAACCGUGUAUUAAGUUUUUGGAUUUUGGGCCCCGUUUUUAAAUUGGUCCACAUUGAGGUCCAAAGGGUCCAAAAUUAAACUUUGUUUGAUUUCAUCAAAAAUUGAAUUAUUGGGGUUCUUUGAUAUGCCGAAUCUAACCGUGUAUUUAGAUUCUUAAUUUUUGGUUCCGUUUUCAAAUUGGUCUACAUUAAGGUCCAAAGGGUCCAAAAUUAAACUUAGUUUGAUUUUAACAAAAAUUGAAUUCUUAGGGUUCUUUGAUAUGCUGAAUCUAAACAUGUAUUUAGAUUUUUAUACGACCGCAAAAAAAUUUUGUGGUCGUAUAUUGGUAUGACGUUGGCGUCGUCGUCGUCGUCGUCGUCGUCGUCGUCCGGCGUCGUCGUCGUCGUCGUCGUCCGGCGUCGUCGUCCGAAUACAUAUUGGUUUUCGCACUCUAACUUUAGUUUAAGUGAAUGGAUCUUUUUGAAAUUUGACCAUAAGGUUAAAUACCACAAAAGGAAGGUUGGGAUUGAUUUUGGGGGUUAUGGUACCAACAGUUAAGGAAUUAGGGGCCAAAAAGGGGCCAAAAAUGAGCAUUUUCUAGUUUCCAGACAAUAACUGUGGAACGGUGUAUGGAUCUCUCUGAAAUUAUACUACAAGUUUCCAUACCACAAAGGGAUGGUUAGGAUUUGCUUUGGGGGGUUAUAGCUCAAACCGUUUAGGAAUUAGGGGCAAAAAAGGGGGAAAAACAAGGUUGUCCUGGUUAAUGGACAAAUACUUUAGUACAAAACAUAAUUUAAAGCAGUGUAAGGGAGAUAAAUCAAAUACAUCAUUGAAAUUAUCUCCCUUACACUGCUUUUAAAUUAUGUAUAUAGUAAUGGUUAAUGAACAAUAAAGAUAAUCUAAAACAGUGUAAGGGAGGUAAUCCAAAUACAACGUUUUGGCUACUUCCCUUACACUGCUUUUAAAUUAUGUUUAAAGAAAUGCAUAUUUAUAAAGGAAGACCAGUAAAAAUAUCUGCAAAUGUUUUCAUCUUUUUUUUUUACAAAAAAAUCCAUAUGAAAGAUUUGACACUAUAUUUUUAUUAAUUCUAUUAUAAAAUAGAUUAAGUUAGCACUAUGGUAAAUUUAAAUGGGUAAUUAUGGUUGCCAACUCCAUUGGAAAUUUGAAUUGAGAUUAUGACCAUAUCUUGAGGGAAAGAAUUUUUUUGGGGGAAAAAGGGGGGGGGGAUAAAAAGAAAUUGUGGGGGGCCAAUUUUUUCUCAUUUCAGAUUUCAGAAAUUAAAAAGAAUUAUUCUUCAAAUAUUAUUUUUUUUUCAAAUUUCAAAUAUUGAAAAAUUUCAAGAAGUAAUCUUUAAUUGCACAGUAUGGCGCAUUAGAUUUGUAAAAUCUUUGAUCACAUUUAUUUAUUUGUUAUGCCGAAUCUAACAGUGUAUUUAGAUUUUUAAUUUUGGGUCCAGUUUUCAAAUUGGUCUACAUUAAUGUCCAAAGGGUCCAAAAUUAAACUUUGUUUGAUUUUAGCAAAAAAUGAAUAUAUGAGGUUCUUUGAUAUGCUGAAUCUAAACAUGUAUUUAGAUUUUUGAUUUUUGGCCCAGUUUUCAAGUUGGUCCAAAUUGGGGUCCAAAAUUAAACUUUGUUUGAUUUCAACAAAAAUUGAAUAUAUGGGGUUCUUUGAUAUGCUGAAUCUAACCAUGUAUUUAGAUUUUUUAUUUGUGGACCCCGUUAUCUAAUUGGUUCAUAUUGAGGUCAAAAGGGUCCAAAAUUAAACUUUGUUUGAUUUCAUCUAAAAUUGAAUUAUUGGGGUUCUUUGAUAUUCCAAAUCUAACUGUGUAUUUAGGUUUUUGUCGAGCCUGCGACUUUUGUCGCAGAAAGCUCGACAUAGGGAUAGCGAUCCGGCGGCGGCGGCGGCGGCGGCUACGGCGGCGGCGGCGGCGUUAGCUAACUUCUUAAAAGCUUUAUAUUUUAGAAGGUGGAAGACCUGGAUGCUUCAUACUUUGUAUAUGGAUGCCUCAUGUUACGAAGUUUCCGUCAGUCACAUGUCCAAUUUCCUUGACCUCAUUUUCAUGGUUCAGUGACUACUUGAAAAAAAAGUUCAGAUUAUUUGUAAUGUUAAAUUCUCUCUUAUUAUAAGUAAUAGGAUAACUAUAUUUAGUAUGUGCGUACCUUGCAAGGUCCUCGUGCCUGUCAGACAGUUUUCACUUGACCUCGACCUCAUUUCAUGGAUCAGUGAACAAGGUUAAGUUUUGGUGGUCAAGUCCAUAUCUCAGAUACUAUAAGCAAUAGGUCUAGUAUAUUUGGUGUAUGGAAGGACUGUAAGGUGUACAUGUCCAACUGGCAGGUGUCAUCUGACCUUGACCUCAUUUUCAUGGUUCAGUGGUUAUAGUUAAGUUUUUGUGUUUUGGUCUGUUUUUCUUAUACUGUAUGCAAUAGGUCUAUUAUAUUUGGUGUAUGGAAUGAUUGUAAGGUGUACAUGUCCAACUGGCAGGUGUCAUCUGACCUUGACCUCAUUUUCAUGGUUCAGUGGUUAUAGUUAAGUUUUUGUGUUUUGGUCUGUUUUUCUUAUACUGUAUGCAAUAGGUCUAUUAUAUUUGGUGUAUGGAAUGAUUGUAAGGUGUACAUGUCCAACUGGCAGGUGUCAUCUGACCUUGACCUCAUUUUCAUGGUUCAGUGGUUAUAGUUCAGUUUUGUGUUUUGGUCCGUUUUUCUUAUACUUUAUCCAAUAGGUCUACUAUAUUUGGUGUAUGGAAUGAUUGUAAGGUGUACAUGUCCAACUGGCAGGUGUCAUCUGACCUUGACCUCAUUUUCAUGGUUCAGUGGUUAUAGUUAAGUUUUUGUGUUUUGGUCCGUUUUUCUUAUACUUUAUCCAAUAGAUCUACUAUAUUUGGUGUAUGGAAUGAUUGUAAGGUGUACAUGUCCAACUGGCAGGUGUCAUCUGACUUUGUCCUCAUUUUCAUGGUUCAGUGGUCAAAUUUAAGUUUUUGAGUUUUGGUCUUUUUUCUUAUACUAUUAUGCAAUAAGUCAACUAUAUUUGGUGUAUGGAAAUAUUCUAUGAUGUACAUGUCAGUCUCGCAGGUUUUAUUUGACCUUGACCUCAUUUUCACAGUUCAUUGCUCAGUGUUAAGUUUAUGUGUUUCAGUCUGUUUUUCUUAAACUAUAAGCAAUAGGUCAGCUAUAUUUGUUGUAUGGAAGGAUUGUAAGCUGUUCAUGUCUGCCUGGCAUGGUUCAUCUGACUUUGACCUCAUUUUCACGAUUCAUUGGUCAAUGUUUAGUUUUCUUGGUUAAGUCUGUUUCUUAGAAACUAUAAGCAAUAGGUCAACUAUAUUUAGUGUAUUGAAUGAUUGUAAGGUGUACAUGUAUUUCUUGUUUGGUUUAUAUGACCUUGACUUCAUUUUCUUGGAUCAUGUUAAGUUUAUGUAAUAGUUGUAGUAAAGCUUUCAUUUAGGACUAUCAACAUAAUAUCAAUGGUUAGUAAAGAAGGCGAGACAUUUCAGCGUGUCCACUCUUGUUAAUUUUGGGUCCCGUUUUUUAAAUUGGUCUACAUUAAGGUCCAAAGGGUCCAAAAUUAAACUUAGUUUGAUUUUAACAAAAAUUGAAUUCUUGGGGUUCUUUGAUUUGCUGAAUCUAAACAUGUGUUUAGAUUUUUGAUUAUGGGCCCAGUUUUCAAGUUGGUCCAAGAUAGGGUCCAGUAUUUAAACUUUGUUUGAUUUCAACAAAAAUUGAAUAUGUGGGGUUCUUUGAUAUGCUGAAUCUAAACAUGUAUUUAGAUUUUUGAUUAUGGGCCCAGUUUUCAAGUUGGUCCAAAUUGGGGUCCAAAAUUAAACUUUGUUUGAUUUCAACAAAAAUUGAAUAUAUGAGGUUCUUUGAUAUGCUGUAUCUAACCAUGUAUUUAGAUUUUUUUAUUUGUAGGCCCCGCUAUCAAAUUGGUUCAUAUUGAGGUCAAAAGGGUCCAAAAUUAAACUUUGUUUGAUUUCAUCGAAAAUUGAAUUAUUGGGGUUUUUUGAUAUGCCAAAUCUAACCGUGUUUUUAGAUUUUUAAUUUGGGUCCCGUUUUUUAAAUUGGUCUUCAUUGAGGUCCAAAGGGUCCAAAAUUAAACUUAGUUUGAUUUUAACAAAAAUUGAAUUCUUGGGGUUCUUUGAUAUGCUGAAUCUAAACAUGUGUUUAGAUUUUUGAUUAUGGGCCCAGUUUUCAAGUUGGUCCUAGUUGGGGUCCAAAAUUAAACUUUUUUUUAUUUCAACAAAAAUUGAAUAUAUGGGGUUCUUUGAUAUGCUGAAUCUAACCAUGAAUUUAGAAUUUUUAUUUGUGGGCCCCGCUAUCAAAUUGGUUUAUAUUGAGGUCAAAAGGGUCCAAAAUUAAACUUUGUUUGAUUUCAUCAAAAAUUGAAUUAUUGGGGUUCUUUGAUAUUCCAAAUCUAACCGUGUAUUUAGAUUUUUAAUUUUAAGUCCCGUUUUUUAAAUUGGUCUACAUUAAGGUCCAAAAGGUCCAAAAUUAAACUUAGUUUGAUUUUAGCAAAAAUUGAAUUCUUGGGGUUCUUUGAUAUGCUGAAUCUAAACAUGUGUUUAGAUUUUUGAUUAUGGGCCCAGUUUUCAAGUUUGUCCAAGUUGGGGUCCAAAAUUAAACUUUGUUUGAUUUUAACAAAAAUUGAAUAUAUGGGGUUCUUUGAUAUGCUGAAUCUAACCAUGUAUUUUGAUUUUGGACAUUGGACCAUAAUAGGUAAAUUAAAAAAAUUCAAGUUCUUAGACCACAUUCUUUCUGUGUCAGAAACCUAUGCUGUGUCAAAUAUUUAAUAACAAUCCAAAUUCAGAGCUGUAUCAAGCUUGAAUGUUGUGUCCAUACUUGCCCCAACUGUUCAGGGUUUUGACCUCUGCGGUCGUAUCAAGCUGCGCCCCAGCGAAGCAUUUUAUUGAUUAUGGGCCCAGUUUUCAAGUUGGUCCACAUUGAGGUCAAAAGGGUCCAAAAUUAAACUUUGUUUGAUUUCAUCAAAAGUUGAAUUCUUGGGGUUCUUUGAUAUGCUGAAUCUAACCAUGUAUUUAGAUUUUGGAUAUUGGACCAUAAUAGGUGAAUGUCCAAUUUAAAAUUUUUAAGUUCUUAGACCACAUUCAUUCUGAGUCAGAAACCUAUGCUGUGUCAAAUAUUUAAUCACAAUCCAAAUUCAGAGCUGUAUCAAGCUUGAAUGUUGUGUCCAUACUUGCCCCAACUGUUCAGGGUUCGACCUCUGCGGUCGUAUCAAGCUGCGCCCUGCGGAGCAUUUUAUUUUAAAUUGGAGUUAUCUUCCUUUGUCCAUGAUUAUACCAUGAAGCUUUAUACAAUGCAAUGUUUAAUUUUGACUGAUAAAACACAGAUCAAGUUGAAUUUGGAUAGUGUCACUUUAACCAUUAUUGAGUUAUGCCACUUUAUAAAUCGAAAGAUUGCAAAAUUUUUAGUUUCCAUUCUGUAACUUAAGUUUGCCCAAACCAAACAUUAUGAAACCUAUACACAAUAUUCAUUACCACAAAACUAAGAUCAAGUACAAUUUUUUUUUCUGUUUUCUAACUUUAAAUCGCCUCAACCAAAUGUUAUGAAACUUAUACACAAUGCUUAUUACUACAUAAUACAGAUUAAGUACGCAAUUUGGUUGUAACACUUUUAGCAUUCUUGAGUUAUGUCCCUUUUUAAACAUAUAAAUUGCUGAAUUUUUCAUUUCCGUUCUCUAUAGUUUGUCUCAACCAAAUGUUAUAAAACUUAUACACAACUGUUCUAGAGUUAUGCGUGUUUACAAAUAGAAAAAUUACUGAAUUUUUAGUUUCUGUUCUCUACUUAAGUUAGCCGCAACCAAAUGUUAUGAGACUUACACACAAUGCUUAUUACCACAAAACUCAGAUCAAGUUCAAAUUUGGGUAGCGUCACUUUUACCGUCCUUCAGUUAUGUCCCUUUAUAACUUUAUGAUAUGCAAGCGGGGGCAUCAUCUGUGUCCACAUGUGGACACUAUCCACAUGUCGGACAUUAACUCAAAAACGCUUUAACCAAUUUGCAUAAAACUUUGUUGAAUUGUUUAUAUCUAUUGACGUUAGCU
This is a long non-coding RNA of Mytilus californianus (California mussel), 6594 nucleotides long. RefSeq lists it as uncharacterized. The record is from RefSeq and is a predicted model, not a curated record. NCBI's taxonomy places the organism in Eukaryota, Metazoa, Mollusca, Bivalvia, Mytilida, Mytilidae. The transcript has 3 exons.